UGGGCCAUUACUGACGCUGAUGGACGAAAGCUAGGGAGCGAAAGGGAUUAGAUACCCCUGUAGUCCUAGCUGUAAACGAUGGACACUAGGUGUUGGCCGUAUCGACCCGGUCAGUAUCGAAGCAAACGCGUUAAGUGUCCCGCCUGGGGAGUACGCACGCAAGUGUGAAACUCAAAGGAAUUGACGGGGGCCCGCACAAGCGGUGGAGUAUGUGGUUUAAUUCGAUGCAACGCGAAGAACCUUACCAGGGAUUGACAUCCUACGAACUUUCGUGAAAGCGAUUGGUGCCUUCGGGAACGUAGAGACAGGUGGUGCAUGGCUGUCGUCAGCUCGUGUCGUGAGAUGUUGGGUUAAGUCCCGCAACGAGCGCAACCCUCGUCCUUAGUUGCCAUCAUUAAGUUGGGCACUUUAAGGAGACUGCCGGUGACAAACCGGAGGAAGGUGGGGAUGACGUCAAGUCAUCAUGCCCCUUACAUCCUGGGCUACACACGUACUACAAUGCAACGGACAAAGGGCAGCCAACUAGCGAUAGUGAGCUAAUCCCAUAAACCGUUGCUCAGUUCAGAUUGCAGGCUGCAACUCGCCUGCAUGAAGGCGGAAUCGCUAGUAAUCGCAGGUCAGCAUACUGCGGUGAAUACGUUCCCGGGCCUUGUACACACCGCCCGUCACACCAUGGAAGUUGGCCACGCCCGAAGUCGUUACCCCAACCGUUUACGGAGGGGGACGCCGAAGGCAGGGCUGAUGACUGGGGUGAAGUCGUAACAAGGUAACC
RNAcentral lists this ribosomal RNA (772 nucleotides) under uncultured bacterium. RNAcentral describes it as "bacterial SSU rRNA". It matches the Rfam family "Bacterial small subunit ribosomal RNA", at positions 730 to 1501 of the family's 1533-position model. The record is from RNAcentral.